CAAAGGCUUGGUCCUGACUUUACUGUCAGCUUUAGCUUGACUUACACAUGCAAGUCUCCGCACCCCCGUGAGGAUUGCCCAUUGGCCUCCCGACCGGAGGCCGGGAGCUGGUAUCAGGCACAAUAUUUUAGCCCACGACGCCUUGCUUAGCCACACCCCCAAGGGUAGUCAGCAGUGAUAAACAUUAAGCCAUGAGUGAAAACUUGACUUAGUUAAAGCUAAUAAGGGCCGGUAAAACUCGUGCCAGCCACCGCGGUUAUACGAGGGGCCCAAGUUGACAGUCCACGGCGUAAAGGGUGGUUAGGGAAUUCUAUUAAACUAAAGCCGAACGCUUACAAAGCUGUUAUACGCACACGAAAGUAAGAAGAUCAACAACGAAAGUGGCUUUAUUCACCCUGAACCCACGAAAGCUAAGGAACAAACUGGGAUUAGAUACCCCACUAUGCUUAGCCCUAAACAAUGACUGUGGCACUACACCCCACAUCCGCCCGGGUAUUACGAACGUCAGUUUAAAACCCAAAGGACUUGGCGGUGCUUUAUAUCCCCCUAGAGGAGCCUGUUCUAGAACCGAUAACCCCCGUUCAACCUCACCCUCUCUUGCCCCUUUCCGCCUAUAUACCGCCGUCGUCAGCUUACCCUGUGAAGGAGAUAAAAGUGAGCAAAAUUGGCACUGCCCAAAACGUCAGGUCGAGGUGUAGCGAAUGAGAGGGGAAGAAAUGGGCUACAUUCGCUAACAGUAGCGAACACGGAUGUUGCAUUGAAACAUGCAGCUGAAGGUGGAUUUAGUAGUAAGCGGAAAGUAGAGUGUUCCGCUGAAAUUGGCCCUAAAGCGCGUACACACCGCCCGUCGCCCUCUCCGGCCCCCACACACUUAAUUUACAUAAACCUACGUCUAAACCCUACAGGAGAGGAAAGUCGUAACAUGGUAAGCGUACCGGAAGGUGUGCUUGGAGUAACAAC
This 960-nucleotide non-coding RNA is filed under the name Polydactylus plebeius (striped threadfin). Its description in RNAcentral is "12S ribosomal RNA". It matches the Rfam family "Bacterial small subunit ribosomal RNA". Lineage: Eukaryota; Metazoa; Chordata; Actinopteri; Polynemidae. The record is from RNAcentral.